Long non-coding RNA from Asparagus officinalis (garden asparagus), 204 nucleotides. RefSeq lists it as uncharacterized. The transcript is spliced from 3 exons. Lineage: Eukaryota; Viridiplantae; Streptophyta; Magnoliopsida; Asparagales; Asparagaceae. The record is from RefSeq and is a predicted model, not a curated record.
GGGAUCGAGAAGGUCCAUCAUCCGGAUCGUCCUCACGACCAUCUCGGAGUCAGUUAUCUCUACAUGGAUCCUCACCAAUUGAAGAUAUUGCGGGGACAUCUCAAAUGGGUACACCGCAACAUCAAGAUGCAUUACCAGGUAUAGGUAUUAUACAUUUGUAAUAUAUUUUAAUGUAAUGUAAUGAUAUUUUAUAUUCCUAAUAAA